Molecule: non-coding RNA, 215 nt
Filed under: Bacillus sp. (in: firmicutes)
Lineage: Bacteria; Bacillati; Bacillota; Bacilli; Caryophanales; Bacillaceae
Description: Bacillus sp. T-box sequence
Rfam family: T-box leader
About the family: Uncharged tRNA acts as the effector for transcription antitermination of genes in the T-box leader family. T-boxes are found upstream of many aminoacyl-tRNA synthetase genes and some amino acid biosynthetic genes usually in Gram-positive bacteria. The anticodon of a specific tRNA base pairs to a specifier sequence within the T-box motif, and the NCCA acceptor tail of the tRNA base pairs to a conserved bulge in the T-box antiterminator hairpin.
Source: RNAcentral
CAAAGAACGUUGAAGAAGGAUUAGUAUGCAUCUACUUUAUGUGACAGAGAGCGGUGUCUAUAAGCUGGAAGGCCCGCCACGUUAAAGCUGCAGAACCUGCCUUCUGAGUCCUAUGUCAAACAUAGGCGCAAUCUUGCGUUAUCAGUCAAAGUGGGAUGUUGUAUACAUCCAAUCAAGGUGGUACCACGGAAGUUAAAGUGCUUUUCGUCCUUAUU